This 448-nucleotide ribosomal RNA is filed under the name uncultured Rhodoferax sp. RNAcentral's name for it is "bacterial SSU rRNA". It matches the Rfam family "Bacterial small subunit ribosomal RNA", at positions 933 to 1382 of the family's 1533-position model. Lineage: Bacteria; Pseudomonadati; Pseudomonadota; Betaproteobacteria; Burkholderiales; Comamonadaceae. The record is from RNAcentral.
UGGAUGAUGUGGUUAAUUCGAUGCAACGCGAAAACCUUACCACCUUUGACAUGUACGGAAGCCUUUAGAGAUAGAGGCGUGCUCGAAAGAGAGCCGUAACACAGGUGCUGCAUGGCUGUCGUCAGCUCGUGUCGUGAGAUGUUGGGUUUAAGUCCCCGCAACGAGCGCAACCCUUGUCAUUAGUUGCUACAUUCAGUUGGGCACUCUAAUGAGACUGCCGGUGACAAGCCGGAGGAAGGUGGGGAUGACGUCAAGUCCUCAUGGCCCUUAUAGGUGGGGCUACACACGUCAUACAAUGGCUGGUACAAAGGGUUGCCAACCCGCGAGGGGGAGCUAAUCCCAUAAAGCCAGUCGUAGUCCGGAUCGUAGUCUGCAACUCGACUACGUGAAGUCGGAAUCGCUAGUAAUCGUGGAUCAGAAUGUCACGGUGAAUACGUUCCCGGGCCUU